Non-coding RNA from Cucurbita pepo subsp. pepo (vegetable marrow), 2049 nucleotides. The record is from RefSeq and is a predicted model, not a curated record. Lineage: Eukaryota; Viridiplantae; Streptophyta; Magnoliopsida; Cucurbitales; Cucurbitaceae.
GUAAAGGAAUUAAUCCAUCAUUUUGGGUUGAAGUUCGUAGGUUUCAGUGCGAGAUUAUCACCAUCGUCGUCGUCGUCGUCGUCGUCGUCAAAUGUGAUGUGUGAGAAAGAUGAACUGACAGUUGUGAAUCUCUCCUCAAUUGGAAACCGAUUGUAUUGAAAUCUUCCAUUGGAGUUCACGUUUUCUCCUUCGGCGCUCAUCAAAUUCACAGGCAAAUUACGGGCUAUCAGCUUCGUGUAAUAGCCUCGCCAGGUUUCACUCGCUCUUUUGUUCUUGGAUUUUGUUUUUAUCGUGUUGUUGAGGGAUACAACAUUGAUGUGUGAUCUGGUUUGAAGAGAUAUGCAGAGAGAAAAUAGUAUUAACUAUCCCGCCAGCCCUAGGCUUCGACACCGCAGGCGAUCGAAUGAGGGGAUUGCGGAGGAUUUGAAGCUAAAUGGAAGCAAUUUACUUGUUAAUGACAGAAAUAAAUACAAGUCAAUGUUAGUUCGUGCCUAUUCAUCUGUCUGGAUGAUUGGAGGGUUUGCAUUAGUAAUAUACCUUGGACAUCUAUAUAUUAUGGCUAUGGUGGUUGUAAUCCAAAUCUUUAUGGCUCGAGAACUCUUCAAUCUACUCAGGAGGACCCAUGAAGAUAGGCAGCUCCCAGGAUUCCGGUUAUUAAACUGGUACUUCUUCUUCACGGCAAUGUUUUUUGUUUAUGGCCGCCUUCUCAGUCAACGGCUUGUCAAUACUGUAACAACAGAUAAAGUUCUAUAUCAGCUUGUCAGCUACCUCGUCAAGUAUCAUAUGGCCAUUUGUUAUUUCUUGUAUAUUGCAGGUUUUAUGUGGUUCAUUCUUACUUUAAAAAAGAAAAUGUACAAAUAUCAGUUUGGCCAGUAUGCGUGGACACACAUGAUCUUGAUAGUUGUGUUUACACAGUCUUCAUUCACUGUUGCUAACAUCUUCGAAGGAAUCUUCUGGUUUCUUCUUCCAGCAACACUCAUUGUAAUAAAUGAUAUUGCUGCAUACUUCUUUGGAUUUUUCUUUGGAAAAACCCCGUUGAUCAAAAUAUCUCCAAAGAAAACUUGGGAGGGAUUCAUAGGAGCCUCUGUGACAACUAUUAUCUCGGCAUUUAUGCUUGCAAACAUCAUGGGUCGAUUCAGUUGGCUCACUUGUCCAAGAAAGGAUUUAUCAACUGGGUGGCUUCACUGUGAUCCGGGUCCUUUGUUCUCACCAGAAUAUUUUACUUUACCUGGAUGGAUUCCUUCAUGGGUCAGUAAAGUGUUCCCAUGGAAAGAUGUCACCAUUUUGCGAGUUCAGUGGCAUGCUAUAUGUCUUGGUUUGUUUGCAUCAAUAAUAGCUCCUUUUGGUGGCUUCUUUGCUAGCGGCUUCAAAAGAGCUUUUAAAAUCAAGGAUUUUGGUGAUAGCAUUCCUGGACAUGGUGGAAUCACAGAUAGGAUGGAUUGCCAGAUGGUGAUGGCCGUGUUUUCAUACAUCUAUCAUCAAUCAUUCGUCGUGUCUCAGAGUAUCACCGUUGAAUCAAUUAUUGACCAGAUACUAAUGAACCUUACAUUUGAGGAGCAACAACUUCUUUUCACGAAGCUUGGGCAAAUGCUGCAAGACAGGCUGUUCUCGCAAUAGCAACUAGCUUAUUGCCCAUCUCAUUAUUCAUCAAUAAAGCAUGUAAUAGAGAGAGAUGAGGGAGACAACCCAACCCUUGGUACUUGUGGAUAGGUGUAAGAAGCAUGCUUUGAACAUUCUCAAAUGAAUGGGAAACCUCCUCUGCAUUUAGCGCAGUAAAGAAGGCAAUUUAGUACAUACUUGACUCAAGCUGAUACUCAAGAAAAGGAGGGACGCGGUGUAAUUUAUCCUUGCAAAGCGUUGGCAAUAGUUAUUUGCUGUUGCAAAUAGUUCUCAGUAUGGAGUUUGGGCUUUGAGUGAAUGACUAACAUUGAGGAGAGGUUGAACUACCAAAUCCACAGCUAUGAUGUUCUUGAUGAGUAAGAUGAGAAGAUUAGCGAAGUGUCAUUGUAUAAUCACCCGUUUUUUAUGAGAGGAAAAAUAUGUUUUGAA